AGAGUUUGAUCCUGGCUCAGAUUGAACGCUGGCGGCAUGCCUUACACAUGCAAGUCGAACGGCAGCACGGGGGCAACCCUGGUGGCGAGUGGCGAACGGGUGAGUAAUACAUCGGAACGUGUCCUGUAGUGGGGGAUAGCCCGGCGAAAGCCGGAUUAAUACCGCAUACGAUCUACGGAAGAAAGCGGGGGAUCCUUCGGGACCUCGCGCUAUAGGGGCGGCCGAUGGCAGAUUAGCUAGUUGGUGGGGUAAAGGCCUACCAAGGCGACGAUCUGUAGCUGGUCUGAGAGGACGACCAGCCACACUGGGACUGAGACACGGCCCAGACUCCUACGGGAGGCAGCAGUGGGGAAUUUUGGACAAUGGGGGAAACCCUGAUCCAGCAAUGCCGCGUGUGUGAAGAAGGCCUUCGGGUUGUAAAGCACUUUUGUCCGGAAAGAAAACUUCUGCCCUAAUACGGUGGGAGGAUGACGUACCGAA
RNAcentral lists this ribosomal RNA (480 nucleotides) under uncultured soil bacterium. RNAcentral describes it as "bacterial SSU rRNA". It matches the Rfam family "Bacterial small subunit ribosomal RNA", at positions 8 to 482 of the family's 1533-position model. The record is from RNAcentral.